Dermacentor andersoni is the source of this 383-nucleotide long non-coding RNA. RefSeq lists it as uncharacterized. Lineage: Eukaryota; Metazoa; Arthropoda; Arachnida; Ixodida; Ixodidae. The record is from RefSeq and is a predicted model, not a curated record.
GCACCAGCUCGCUUCCCUGAAAGAAGCUAGGUGCUGAAGAAGUACUUGACUAACCUACCCGCAUUGUCAUUGUGACAGUCUGCAUCACCAUUCGGCCUAUUUUGGGAUCCCACAAGACACGCUGCUACCCUGGGUGUUGUACCUCGGUCAAUUGCUGAAGUUCUGCAAGCCCCAUUGAAGCCAACAGUCAUCCGCAUCCAAUGGAAGAAACUCAUUGUUCGGGCCGUCAUAAUUUAUCUUAGGCUGAAACUAGAAGCAGGGUAGAAACAGCAUAUAUUCUACAAGAAUUUACCACUGCAUGCCGUCGGGUGGCUACACCCGACAGGCUACUGUCUUGAACAGAGAUGGUGUUUUAUUCUAGAAUAUAUUUGUCAGCAGUACUA